AUUGAACGCUGGCGGCAUGCUUUACACAUGCAAGUCGAACGGCAGCGGGGUAGUGCUUGCACUACUGCCGGCGAGUGGCGAACGGGCGAGUAAUAUAUCGGAACGUACCGAGUAAUGGGGGAUAACCAAUCGAAAGAUUGGCUAAUACCGCAUACGUCCUGAGGGAGAAAGCGGGGGAUCGCAAGACCUCGCGUUAUUCGAGCGGCCGAUAACUGAUUAGCUAGUUGGUGGGGUAAAGGCCUACCAAGGCGACGAUCAGUAGCGGGUCUGAGAGGACGAUCCGCCACACUGGGACUGAGACACGGCCCAGACUCCUACGGGAGGCAGCAGUGGGGAAUUUUGGACAAUGGGGGCAACCCUGAUCCAGCCAUGCCGCGUGUAUGAAGAAGGCCUUCGGGUUGUAAAGUACUUUUGUUAGGGAAGAAAAGGGAAGUGCUAAUACCACUUUUUGCUGACGGUACCUAAAGAAUAAGCACCGGCUAACUACGUG
This 490-nucleotide ribosomal RNA is filed under the name uncultured bacterium. RNAcentral's name for it is "partial 16S ribosomal RNA". It matches the Rfam family "Bacterial small subunit ribosomal RNA", at positions 30 to 507 of the family's 1533-position model. The record is from RNAcentral.